GUCUACAUCAACCAAUUCUCUGCCCUCUCCUUCUCAGUAUCCUCCCACCACCCCGGCUCACCCCACGGUACUCUUUUUCCUUUGUCUCUCUGGCUUCUUUGUCAGUGAGGUGUGCUUCUUGCUCGCUGUAAUACUAAGGCUUUCAAAAGGCUGGUGGCGGUAUCGCUCCGGCUAGUCCUUAGGAGCUGCCUAUGGUUCCACAAAGAUCACUUGUUGACGCCAGGUGAGACAGAGGGAGCGACAGAGACGGGGGAGAAAACGUCCAGAAUGUGCAGACAGAAGAGAUGCUCAGACCUCCCUUUCCCCAGCCACUGCCUCUAGCUCUUCCACGGGGAUACAGAGGUAUUCCCAAGCAAGCCAAGAAACAUAACCUCUCCAGCGUGUCGUGGGUCUGCCCUGGGGUCUCCUCCCGGUUGGACAUGUUGAAACGCCUCACCUGUGAGGUGUACAGGAAGCAUCCUGGUCAAAUGCCAGUAACUUCAGCUGCGGAAGCUCUACGCUGAGUACGUCCUGAAUGACUGAGGCUAUCACCACCGUUUGGAAAUAACCUUUUUCAGCGUCUUUUACCCAAAACCUUAUUGUUUCGGUCACCACUCAAAGUUCAUGACCGUAGGUGAGGAAGGAUGUGGGUUGUUUCACUUUACAGCAGUGAAAAACAGGUUUUGUUAGGUGAUGACUGGACACAGAGUUCUGUAACACGAUAAAUUAGUGAUAUCAAAAUUAAGUGAAUACAGCAAAUUGCUCGGGAGGAAAAUAUUGUUGCUGGCUCUUUAAUCUCUAGUUGUACCAUAAAAACAUUAUUUUUGAUUAAAAUGGUCCUAAUCUUAAACACCCAACAUUCAAACAUUAAUAAACACACACAUUUUAAGAAGUCUGAUUUUGAUGUUUGGUGCUUUUUACAACUUUUCCUGGUAAUGUACAACCGCCCUCCAACGUUGUCCCUUUGCUUUCCAGUGACUUAGCUGCUCCUGUCAUGAAACGGUACUGCACCAGCAUGUUGUGGAAACUAUUUGUGUGAAGUCAGUGUUAAAAUUUUUGCCACCUGCUUUUUGCCUUUGAGGCUUUUGCCAUUAAAAUACUGCACAGCCUGCUGAAAAUCAGUGUCAUCAAAUACCCUCAUGGACCUUACUACAAGUUGUUCAUAGGCAGAAAAAAAUAGUGUCAAAUGCAUCAGCAGUGACCUCCGUGAACCCAAAGCAAGUACCUCCCAUUGUCUGCCCUGGCUUGUUUGUGAAGCUGUGCUAUUAUGUAUUUCAUCAGGCUCAUGUGCAAUUAACCCUCACAGUGGCAACAGAAGUGGUGACCUGACUAAACCACUGCUGCAUAAUCUGUAAUAGUGUGCUUAUGUCUUCAUUUCAGAAAGCCCUGAUUUUCAGGUUCAUCCUUAUAUAAAGUGAAGGGUCUUCCAAAUAUGUUUAAGGCUGUUUACACAAAAUACCCAGGCUGUAUAUAGCAUGUGAUGUAGUAAUUCUGCAUCAUUGCCUCUGUAUGAACCUACAGUGAUAAUCAGCAAACACAAGUGUGACGAGUUGCUUAAAUGAAAAUGUGACAUGUAAGCAGCUCAUGUGAAGUUUCUCUUUUGUGAUUUUUCUCUCUCAAAGUAGAAACAGUCUCCAAGCAGCGCGCCUUUCUUGUUAAACAGUCAAGGCCGUGUUCUUUAAUUGAUUCCAGUGUUCAAGCAGUCUAAAUUUGAAUUGAGAAUUGUGUUUAAAACUAAUCCAAUUAUCACAACAUCAGAAGAAAAAAAAAAAAGUGGGGGGAAAGUAGGCUGUUAGCUCCAUCAGUGGAGCUUGAUAAUUGGUAUUUUAAUCUUUGCAGCAGGAAUAAGCUGUGAUUAAGGCAUUAAAGUGCUCUUCUUGUACAUGGUUAAAAAAAAAAAAUCUGCAUUUUUAUUUUUUAUCUUACCGGAGUCUCAAAUGGAAUAAAAGAUUUUUUAUAUCCAUGAUAACCUUUGUGAUGUGGACGA
Molecule: long non-coding RNA, 1966 nt
Organism: Oreochromis niloticus (Nile tilapia)
Lineage: Eukaryota; Metazoa; Chordata; Actinopteri; Cichliformes; Cichlidae
Exons: 2
Source: RefSeq, a predicted model, not a curated record